GUGGAACCACAGAGCGGCACAGUGCUCUCCUGCCCCGACCAACAAAGUCACUUUCAGAACCUCCAGUACCACAAGAUUCCUCACGCCAUCUUCCCUAAGGAUCUGAGCUGUAUGUCCACCAUGAUGACGUUUGAGUAUGUGAGUCAGCUGUGUCGGAACAAGGACCAGGUCUGUUGUCUGCCCUCCAGACUGAAAGACACCAAAGGGCUGACCUCUGAGGACAACAUCUCCAUAGUUCCUUUCCAGUUUGACCUCAUCCAGCUGCUCCCCAGAUGCCAGCAGGUGGAACUUUUCUUCCUGACGUUCAGCACAGGUACGUUGACCUCCUCCUGCUCCACAGCAGCAGUAACACAGACAGUCCCAGUUGGACCGUGGCUCCCCAUGUGUCUCUGCCAAGGUUGGGAUCAAUUGCAUUU
This 416-nucleotide long non-coding RNA is filed under the name Gouania willdenowi (blunt-snouted clingfish). RNAcentral's name for it is "lncRNA (ENSGWIG00000018810.1)". The record is from RNAcentral. Lineage: Eukaryota; Metazoa; Chordata; Actinopteri; Blenniiformes; Gobiesocidae.